CUUUCCAUUUACUUGCUGCCCUAGGCUCUCAGUGACAGGAGCAGUUUUACGCAUAGGAUAAAAUAAUAUUGGGCAAUUGUAAAUCGAGAUGAGGUGAUUUUCUCUCUUCUGCAUGGUCUAGACAUUG
This is a small nucleolar RNA of Myodes glareolus (Bank vole), 127 nucleotides long. RefSeq annotates it as small nucleolar RNA SNORA20. The record is from RefSeq and is a predicted model, not a curated record. NCBI's taxonomy places the organism in Eukaryota, Metazoa, Chordata, Mammalia, Rodentia, Cricetidae.